CUCUUGCGGUUCCCCCCGGCCUGCGCGGAGCUCCACCACCCGCCCUGGCGCCGGCGGCCCCGCGUCGUCAACAGCGCGAGGUGUCGGGUGGCCCAGGGUGUUUGGGCCGCACCGGGAGGCUGUUGGAAUGACAAGGACGUCCCCGGGGCCAAACGAAAACAACCCCACCCCCUGCGGCGCCACCCGGCUGGGAGCGGAGAGAGACUGACGGCGGAGGCGGGGGUCAGGGCGCGGACCCGGACCCCAGCCCCAUGGGGGACAGAGUCCAAAAAAACCGGCCGGGUGGAGGAUGCAGCCGGGCGUGGUGGCUACAAGGAAGUGCCCUGGUGUUAAGAACUCAGCCUCUGAAACCCGCCGCCCAGCUUCGAGUCAGCGACGUACUUUUGUUGUCCCGGCCUUAGUAUCCCCGCUGCAAUAAGAGGUACUCAGCUCAAACCAUCUGGUGUAAGCUCCUAAAGGCAGAAAUCAAGCUGACCUAAGCAAAGACCUGAAGGAGCUAUGAGGACAUCUGGCAGAAGAGGUAAUGCUACGGGCAAGAGGCUGGCCAGCGGCUAUAAACAAGUUAAGGGACUCCUCUGAGCCUCAACAUCCCAUCCCUGGAAUGGAGAGAAGGACGUCUGCCCUGCUUAUCUCAAAAGGACAUCGAUGAGAUCAUAGAAGCCCAAGCUGAGGUUACAUCUGAUGCUAAAAACUAGACGAGAAAGGGUCUGUCUGACCCUCAAGGUCAGCAAUGUGUGUGCAACUCCCCUCUCGGGGUCUGGGGACGCAGCCAUGUGUUCCAUCGCACACCAGGCUUUGGGGAUAUUGUAGGGCUCAGACCGCCGACUGCUAGUUUAUUAAAAGAGCAGCUGCCAUCCCGCCGCGCAGUGGGACAGAGAGCUGCAGCCCGGCGCAGGCUCGACCCCGCAGGGAACCGCGACCCGGGGAUAGGCAGCUCUGGACUGCACUGAUCUGGGACUCUGUCGGCUCUACAGACACACACACGCGCGCGCACACACACACACAUGCACACACGCACGCACACACACACGCACGCACAGCCGCUAGGCCUAGAGUUUAUUUUUCCAGGGGCUGGUGGGGACUCCGCUCCCGCGGCGGGCGGCGGCACUGGAAUGUUAAUUGAAACGGAGCUGGCGAGCGCGGCGCAGAUAAGCGUCGCCCAGCAGCGUCCCCGCCUGCGGCUCCCCGAAUCAGCGAUCCGGGAAGGCCCCGCCGCCUCUCUGGCCGCUGAGGGUUUUCUUUUCCACGCUGAAGGAGUGGAACGCGCGCGGAGGCAGCUCGGCGCCCGCAAACCCCCGGAGUCAGCCCCCGACGGUCUGUCCCAGAACUAAACGGUCUCCGCCACCCAAAGCCGAGAAGCUAAGAGGCCGGCUGGGGGAGGGUGACACGGAGAAAUGGAGAAGCCCACCCAGCGGUUACAUACCGGCAGAUUUUUAUUUCCUUUAACUGGUUGGUUCUUCUAAACAUUUAAUGCAAGAAAUCUCUCGGCCCGCUUCACUUUACUCUCCACCCAUGCUCUUCCCCUAACCCUGAGAAUUUUGCACAGAUUUUCGGGGUUCGCGCGGAGCGCCUCUGAAAGUGAUGGCGGACAAACCGUCAAAAAGGCCUCAGCAUAGCAAUUUAGGAAAAGAUCGUAUCAGAUCCUUAAUUCACACCAUACACUCUAAUACACUCGAAAGUAAGCAAAGAAAUUAUAACAAAUACCAGAAUAAAAUAUGGGUGAAUUCCUUUUUAACCUCAGUGUAGGAAAAGAAAGGUCUUCUCACCAUGACUCAAAUCAAGAAGCAAGUAAACAUAACACAAAUGAUUACAUUUUAUAAAAUGCAUGGUAAGAAAUCACUAUAAAAGAAGUCAAAAGACAAUUGUCAAACAGGAAGAAAAUAUUUGCAACAUAUAGCACACAUAACCAAAGUAACUGAUAUUGAGAAAACUUAAAAAUUGAAAUUGGGAGAUGGAUACAAUUUGCGUUUGUGUAUGUAUGUGUAUAUAUUUAUGUGUUUUUAAUUGUUAUGUAUAUUAUACAUGUAUAUGUAUAGAUACAUACACAUAUGUAUAUAUCCCUUAAACAUAUAAAAGGAUGUUGCACCUCACUUGUAAUUAGAGAAAUGCAAAUUAAAAACAACACUGAGAUACUGUUUCUCACCUAUCAAAUUUGUAAGAAUUAAGAGGCAUGAUCAUGCAUUCCGUUGCCCGGGCUAGCUGGGAAGCAGGCACUCCCAUACAGUACUGGUGGAAUGCAAACCUGUAGAACCUUUCUGGAGAGGAGAACUCCUAAAAAUACUAUAUGUGCAUUUAUGUUUCACCUAUGGUCCCAUUUCUUAGAAAUUUGUCUUUCGACAAAUUCAAUUGACAAUUGUCUUUUGACUCUGAAGACAUGCCUCCAACAAUAUAAAAACACAUACAAACUUAUUAUUGUAAAGUACUGGAAAACUCUAAAUACUCAUUCACAGAACAGUGGUUGAAUAAACUUUGGUACAUUCGUGCAAUGGAGUACUAGGCAACUAUAGAAAACAAUAAGGAAGACCUCUUUGGACCAAUAUGAUGUGACUGCUGAAUAUAUUGUUAAGUGAAAAAAAGGUAACGGCAAAAGAGUAUCUUCAAGAAUCAAUGAGAGCUGGGAACAGCUCAUGUUCUGGGGAGGAGGCUGUGCCGGCCAUGGGGCUUUGGGUGUGUGAUUGACUGCAGGUGUGCUUGCCUUGUGGCAGCAGAAAAAGGAUGCACCAGUGAUCAACCCGUCUCUUAAAUAUGGUAAUCAGAUCAACAUCAUAGAUUUUAAUGAUAAAAGUAUCAUUAUAAAUGAAAACGUUAUCCAUCAAGUGGAUGAAAUUAGGCACAUUAAUGCCAGUCCGGCAGACAAAGGUGAGCUGGUGACAUUCUACAAUAAAAGUUAUUGUGUCUUCUCCUGACUGGACUGGAUACUCCUGGAGGGUCCUGAAGUGUGUACUAUUUAUCUUUGUGUCUGAGUGCCUUGUAUAUGGGGUGACCAUAUGGACAGUUGUGGUUAGUUUAUACUUGGCACACCAUCUAGUUAGUGUUAAAGGACACUUUCCACUUUCCCAGUGUUAAAGGACACUGGCCUUUCCCAGUUAGGCCAGGUGCAGCAGCUUACUCCUGUAAUCCCAACGCUUUGGGAGGUCAAGGUGGGAGGAUCACUCGAGGCUGGGAGUUCCAGACCAGCCUAGGCAACAUAGUGAGGCUCUGUCUCUAAAAAAAAAUGUAUCCCAGUUUGUGUGACAGAUUCUAUGAUUACCUUUUCCAUGUAAUAGGCACUCUCAGAAAAUAUCUUCUGAAUUGAAUGGAAUAAUUUGGAACAUAAUGAAGUAAUGGUUUUGCUAAAAUGUUUUAAAUGUUGAGUAUAUGUUUCUACGGAGUGAGUGUACUAACGCGUACUGAGCAAAAAAAAUUAGGAAGAAACAUAAAAGGCAAUUACUAAAUAAAUGCAUUGAUCAUAGUACAUGAAAGAGCACCAUAUGGGAAAUCAGGAGAUAGAUGUGGCCUCAAAUAAGUUUCUUAACCUUCCUUUCUCUUAGUUUCCUCAUUUAUAAACUAGAAAUCAUAACUACUUUACACAUCUCACUGAGUUAUUUUGAGAACCAGUGAGAUGAGAUAUAAAUAUGCAUUUUUUAAAAAAGGAAACCAUACAGGAAAUAAUCUAGAUCUGUUUGCCAAAUCGUUCCCCAUUAUUUUUCAACUCUUCAUUUCUGCUCUAGAGGGAACUGAUGUGGGAGCAGGGCCACAGAAGUGCAGAACAAUGGCCCCAGGAUUGGUAGUGAGAAAACCUGGAUUCUAAUUUUCCUCUGCUAUGUGAUAGCCGUGUGAUCUUGGACCACAUGUAAUCUCUGUGUUCUUUAUCUGUAAAAUAAAGAUGACUAAGCUAAAGCCA
Molecule: long non-coding RNA, 3883 nt
Filed under: Homo sapiens (human)
Lineage: Eukaryota; Metazoa; Chordata; Mammalia; Primates; Hominidae
Description: HSALNT0345706
Source: RNAcentral